RNAcentral lists this long non-coding RNA (364 nucleotides) under Phasianus colchicus (ring-necked pheasant). RNAcentral's name for it is "lncRNA (ENSPCLG00000010463.1)". Lineage: Eukaryota; Metazoa; Chordata; Aves; Galliformes; Phasianidae. The record is from RNAcentral.
ACCAGUGUUAUUGUUCAGAAAAAGUUCUCUUAUUUGUUUAACUACUUUGUUUGUUUGUUUGUUCAACAGAUUGGGUGGCCAGCUUCUGUGCAGAAAAAGGGAAAGCACUGACACACUCAACUGAAGAAGUUGUCUUGUGAUGAAACAGCACAUUUCAGUGACCGAUGACAGCAUGGAGAACUAUAAAUUCACUGAUUGAUCCUAAACUAUUGAGUGCUUAGCCCUGGCAGAAGAGCAGGACAAGGCCCAUGUGGCAUUCAGAUAACAUCUGCAGCUUAUCUGGAAGUCUUACAAGGUUUAACUAUGCUGAAGACCAUCCAGUGGAAAGAAAUCUUAUUAUCUUCAGCUUAAUGUUUCAUUAUCU